AAUGAACGCUGGCGGCAUGCCUAACACAUGCAAGUCGAACGAAGGCUUCGGCCUUAGUGGCGCACGGGUGCGUAACGCGUGGGAAUCUGCCCUUGGGUUCGGAAUAACAGUUAGAAAUGACUGCUAAUACCGGAUGAUGUCGUAAGACCAAAGAUUUAUCGCCCAAGGAUGAGCCCGCGUAGGAUUAGCUAGUUGGUGGGGUAAAGGCCUACCAAGGCGACGAUCCUUAGCUGGUCUGAGAGGAUGAUCAGCCACACUGGGACUGAGACACGGCCCAGACUCCUACGGGAGGCAGCAGUGGGGAAUAUCGGACAAUGGGCGAAAGCCUGAUCCAGCAAUGCCGCGUGAGUGAUGAAGGCCUUAGGGUUGUAAAGCUCUUUUACCCGGGAUGAUAAUGACAGUACCGGGAGAAUAAGCUCCGGCUAACUUCGUG
Molecule: ribosomal RNA, 433 nt
Filed under: uncultured bacterium
Lineage: Bacteria
Description: partial 16S ribosomal RNA
Rfam family: Bacterial small subunit ribosomal RNA
Source: RNAcentral